Non-coding RNA from Picea glauca (white spruce), 635 nucleotides. NCBI's taxonomy places the organism in Eukaryota, Viridiplantae, Streptophyta, Pinopsida, Pinales, Pinaceae. The record is from Rfam.
UUUAUAUAUAAUUAAUAUUAAUUAACCUUGUCAAAACUCGUACGGACAAGGGGAAUCUGACUAUUUAAUUAAAACAAAGAAUUGCAAUGAUGGUCCCUAUGGAUGCUAACACAAUGUGAUUUAUGCCCACUUCUCUGCAUGUAAAAGUGAAAAAAUUCAACCAAGCAUGGGUAAACAAUGAGAGUAACUAUGACUCUGUUAAGGUAGCUAGAUGCCUCAUCAUCUAAUUAGUGACACACAUGAAUGGAUUAAUGAGAUUCCCACUUUCCCAAGAUACUAUCUAGAAAAUUCAAAACCAAAGGAACGAGCUUGGAAAAAUUAGCGGGGAAGGAAGACCCUAUUGAGCUUGACUCUAGUCUGCCUUUGUGAAAUGAAUUGAUAGGUGUAGAAUAAGUCGGAGUUGUUUUCAGCGCCAGUUAAAUACCACUACUUUUGACAUUAUUUUACUUAUUUCAUGGGGCAGAGACGAGGCAUUGCACAUAUGUUAAAAUAUAAUACACAUUUCCUCAAAGUGUUUUCAUUGAUGGAAAUGGUCGAAAGCUCAUUCUUUACACAGUUGAUGGAAAUGAGUUUAGGAAACCAAAGAGGAUCAUUUGUUUUAAGGAUGAAGAAAUUUCCUAUAACAAUCCCUAUGU